This 446-nucleotide ribosomal RNA is filed under the name uncultured bacterium. RNAcentral's name for it is "SSU rRNA". It matches the Rfam family "Bacterial small subunit ribosomal RNA", at positions 26 to 518 of the family's 1533-position model. The record is from RNAcentral.
AGAACGAACGCUGGCGGCAGGCUUAACACAUGCAAGUCGAACGCGUGUAGCAAUACACGAGUGGCGCACGGGUGAGUAACGCGUGGAUAUCUGCCUUUUGGUUCGGAAUAACCCCGGGAAACUGGGGCUAAUACCGGAUGGUUCCUACGGGAUAAAGAUUUAUCGCCAAAAGAUGAGUCCGCGUACGAUUAGCUAGUUGGUGAGGUAAUGGCUCACCAAGGCGACGAUCGUUAGCUGGUCUGAGAGGACGAUCAGCCACACUGGGACUGAGACACGGCCCAGACUCCUACGGGAGGCAGCAGUGGGGAAUAUUGGACAAUGGGGGCAACCCUGAUCCAGCCAUGCCGCGUGAGUGAUGAAGGCCUUCGGGUUGUAAGCUCGUUUUGGCGGGGACGAUGAUGACGGUACCGCAGAAUAAGCCCGGCUAACUUCGUGCCAGCAGCCGC